CCCAUAAAGGUAACUGGUGAAGAACCCGGGCAGCACGGAAACUCCUGAGGAGUCACAGGUGUGUUGUUGUUGUUGUCCUCCUUCAGAGGAGUCAUAAGUGUGUUGUUGUCCUUCAGAGGAGUCACAGGUGUGUUGUUGUCCUCAGAGGAGUCACAGGUGUGUUGUUGUUGUCCUCCUUUAGUCACAGGUGUGUUGUUGUCCUCAGUGGAGUCACAGGUGUGUUGUUGUCCUCCUUUAGUCACAGGUGUGUUGUUGUCCUCAGUGGAGUCACAGGUGUGUUGUUGUUGUCCUCCUUUAGUCACAGGUGUGUUGUUGUCCUUCAGAGGAGUCACAGGUGUGUUGUUGUCCUUCAGAGGAGUCACAGGUGUGUUGUCCUCCUUCAGAGGAGUCAUAGGUGUGUUGUUGUUGGCCUUCA
Clupea harengus (Atlantic herring) is the source of this 415-nucleotide long non-coding RNA. Lineage: Eukaryota; Metazoa; Chordata; Actinopteri; Clupeiformes; Clupeidae. The record is from Ensembl.